AGUGAACGCUGGCGGUAGGCCUAACACAUGCAAGUCGAACGGCAGCACAGUAAGAGCUUGCUCUUACGGGUGGCGAGUGGCGGACGGGUGAGGAAUACAUCGGAAUCUACUUUUUCGUGGGGGAUAACGUAGGGAAACUUACGCUAAUACCGCAUACGACCUACGGGUGAAAGCAGGGGAUCUUCGGACCUUGCGCGAUUGAAUGAGACGAUGUCGGAUUAGCUAGUUGGCGGGGUAAAGGCCCACCAAGGCGACGAUCCGUAGCUGGUCUGAGAGGAUGAUCGGCCACACUGGAACUGAGACACGGUCCAGACUCCUACGGGAGGCAGCAGUGGGGAAUAUUGGACAAUGGGCGCAAGCCUGAUCCAGCCAUACCGCGUGGGUGAAGAAGGCCUUCGGGUUGUAAAGCCCUUUUGUUGGGAAAGAAAAGCAGCAGGUUAAUACCCCGCUGUUCUGACGGUACCCAAAGAAUAAGCACCGGCUAACUUCGUG
RNAcentral lists this ribosomal RNA (492 nucleotides) under uncultured bacterium. Its description in RNAcentral is "partial 16S ribosomal RNA". It matches the Rfam family "Bacterial small subunit ribosomal RNA", at positions 29 to 507 of the family's 1533-position model. The record is from RNAcentral.